This 246-nucleotide long non-coding RNA is filed under the name Oryza sativa tropical japonica subgroup. RNAcentral's name for it is "lncRNA OsCMeo_01g0025210". The record is from RNAcentral. Lineage: Eukaryota; Viridiplantae; Streptophyta; Magnoliopsida; Poales; Poaceae.
GUCGCCGCCGUCCUCCGCCGCCACCAUCCUCCGUCGCACCUGCCGCCAACGUCCUCCGCAGCACCCACCGCCUCCCAAAGAAACACCGCCGUGGCGUCGUCGACGGCUCGCUGCUACCUGCCGCGGCGCUGUUCUCCUGACCACCUCCGCUACCACGCGCAACCAGGGGUCCUGCUAAAGACGCUCAAUGAGAGCGUAUUUGUAACUGAAAUUCAGAAUAGGAAAAAAAUAGAAUCGAGACUAUAA